GACGAACGCUGGCGGCGUGCUUAACACAUGCAAGUCGAACGGAAAGGCCCUGCUUUUGUGGGGUGCUCGAGUGGCGAACGGGUGAGUAACACGUGAGUAACCUGCCCUUGACUUUGGGAUAACUUCAGGAAACUGGGGCUAAUACCGGAUAGGAGCUCCUGCUGCAUGGUGGGGGUGGGAAAGUUUCGGCGGUUGGGGAUGGACUCGCGGCUUAUCAGCUUGUUGGUGGGGUAGUGGCUUACCAAGGCUUUGACGGGUAGCCGGCCUGAGAGGGUGACCGGCCACAUUGGGACUGAGAUACGGCCCAGACUCCUACGGGAGGCAGCAGUGGAGAAUAUUGCACAAUGGGCGGAAGCCUGAUGCAGCAACGCCGCGUGCGGGAUGACGGCCUUCGGGUUGUAAACCGCUUUCGCCUGUGACGAAGCGUGAGUGACGGUAAUGGGUAAAGAAGCACCGGCUAACUACGUG
RNAcentral lists this ribosomal RNA (468 nucleotides) under uncultured bacterium. RNAcentral's name for it is "partial 16S ribosomal RNA". It matches the Rfam family "Bacterial small subunit ribosomal RNA", at positions 28 to 507 of the family's 1533-position model. The record is from RNAcentral.